This 468-nucleotide ribosomal RNA is filed under the name uncultured bacterium. RNAcentral describes it as "partial 16S ribosomal RNA". It matches the Rfam family "Bacterial small subunit ribosomal RNA", at positions 28 to 507 of the family's 1533-position model. The record is from RNAcentral.
GACGAACGCUGGCGGCGUGCUUAACACAUGCAAGUCGAACGGAAAGGCCCUGCUUUUGUGGGGUGCUCGAGUGGCGAACGGGUGAGUAACACGUGAGUAACCUGCCCUUGACUUUGGGAUAACUUUAGGAAACUGGGGCUAAUGCCGGAUAGGAGCUCCUGCUGCAUGGUGGGGGUUGGAAAGUUUCGGCGGUUGGGGAUGGACUCGCGGCUUAUCAGCUUGUUGGUGGGGUAGUGGCUUACCAAGGCUUUGACGGGUAGCCGGCCUGAGAGGGUGACCGGCCACAUUGGGACUGAGAUACGGCCCAGACUCCUACGGGAGGCAGCAGUGGGGAAUAUUGCACAAUGGGCGGAAGCCUGAUGCAGCAACGCCGCGUGCGGGAUGACGGCCUUCGGGUUGUAAACCGCUUUCGCCUGUGACGAAGCGUGAGUGACGGUAAUGGGUAAAGAAGCACCGGCUAACUACGUG